UGUCUUGUGUGUACUCCAGCAACCUAGAUGUGGAACAUGAGGGUGGUUUGCAGAGACUCCAGACGCACCAGCUAGUAGCAAAACAGUGUGUACUUCCAGGCUAGGGCCACUCACAGAUUUCUUGGCUCAUACAGAGUGGUGCAUGCUAUUGAUACCUACCACAGUUACAUUUUAGCUGAAAUAUAUUUAAUUUCCCAUGAACUUUGAAAAUUCAAGCAUCUCUCAUGCCUCUAACCAGAGCGUCUCAAAACCUCACAGAAGAACAGCCAGGGCCACAAAAUCUCAGUGUGGCUUCUGUAAGUCACCACUUACUGGUGUUUUUCAGUACAGCUGAAUGCAAUAACAUGCAGCCUAUGAACACAGGAAAGGGAACACAGACAUCUUCUUCUCCCUACCUUUAACUGGAAGCUGGAAACUGUCCCAUGUUCCAUACAGAUUGACUGAAGUUUCUCCUGUGUGGCUGUGUUAAUGGAAAUGGAAGGAACUUCAGAGCAAGAACUCUUAUUUAUUCUGUGCUUGCACAUCACCUCACAUUAUGUGACACACUCAGGAAUAGACAAUAAUAAAAUAAACAACUAUACUGAGUUUGAUAUUAAAUCAUCAUGCACUGCACUUGAUUACUGAAAGCCACUGAACAGAUUUAACAGUUUUGUGAUUUAGGUUAUAAAUUUAUUAAAGUUCAAACAUAAUUGCCAAUAUUUGUUCACAAAAGUCUUGUCUUGUUACGUGGGAGAAUAGACCAAUCCCCCAAUCCCACUACAACCUCCUCUGAGGCAGCUGUGGGGAGAAUUAAGGUUUACCUGAGCCUCCUUCUCUCCAGGCUAAACAACGCCAGU
Long non-coding RNA from Passer domesticus (house sparrow), 836 nucleotides. RefSeq lists it as uncharacterized. The record is from RefSeq and is a predicted model, not a curated record. NCBI's taxonomy places the organism in Eukaryota, Metazoa, Chordata, Aves, Passeriformes, Passeridae. The transcript is spliced from 3 exons.